CCUGAUGGAGCAGGUGGCUCACCAGACCAUGGUCAUGCAGUUCAUCCUGGAGUUGGCCAAGAGUCUGAAGGUCGACCCCCGGGCCUGCUUCCGGCAGUUUUUCACCAAGAUCAAGACUGCUGACCAGCAGUACAUGGAGGGCUUCAAGUAUGAACUGGAGGCCUUUAAGGAGCGUGUGCGGGGCCGCGCCAAGCUGCGAAUAGAGAAGGCCAUGAAGGAGUACGAGGAGGAGGAGCGCAAGAAGAGGCUAGGCCCUGGUGGCCUGGACCCUGUGGAGGUCUACGAAUCUCUGCCUGAGGAGCUGCAGAAGUGCUUUGAUGUGAAGGAUGUACAGAUGCUGCAAGACGCCAUCAGCAAGAUGGAUCCUACUGAUGCCAAGUAUCACAUGCAGCGUUGCAUCGAUUCUGGCCUCUGGGUCCCCAACUCCAAGUCUGGAGUGGAGGAAGGAUUAUCGAGUUCAAGGUCAUCCUCAGCUAUAUAGAGAAAUCAAGGACAAACUGGACUGCAUAAGCACCUGUCUCAGAAAAGAAGAAAGAAGCCAGGUGGUCGCGGUACAUGCCUUCGAUCCCAGCAUUCAGGAGGCAGAAGCAAGCGGAUCUCUGAGUUUGAGGCCAUUCUCAUCUACAGAGUGAAUUCCAGGACAGCCAGGGCUGCACAGAGAAGCCCUGUCAUGGAAAAAAAAUGAAGAGGAGGAGGAUGUGGGGGAUGGAGAUGGCUGCUCUUGCAGAGGACUUGGAUUUGCUUCUCAGACUCACAUGGUAGACACCCAUCCGUAACUCCAAUGCCCUCUUCUGGCCUUCAUGGACACCAGGCAUACAUGUGCUGUGCAGAAACACCAACAGGCUACAUUUCCAUAUCUACAAGUAUAAAAAAAAACAAACCUAAAAGCAAGGAGGAAGUGAGCAGAGCACAGACUGCAGAGCUCUGGUUCAAGAUUCAAUCUCAAGCAUCCCAGAUGAAGAGAGAAAGGGUUGGUAAGGGUCCCAAGGUAGAAGGAAAGAAAACACGGUUCAGGGGCAGAGCUGACAGGAAGCUCUAAGCUUGACUGUCUUAGUCUAAAGUCUGGCUUCUCAUUUCUUGUGGUUUGAGGAGGUCACCCCUAGCCCUGGGCGUUUGACUUUGUGGUUCCCAGUUGGUGUAGCUGUUUGGGGAGGUGUGGAAGAUGUGACCUUGCAGGAGGAAGUGCAUCACUGGGAGUAGGCUUUGAGAGUUGAGGCUCAUGACAUUCCUGGCUUGCUCUGUUUCCUGCUUGUGGUUGCAGAUAUUAUCUCACAGGUCUUCCAUGCCCCGGACUUUCUGCUAUACUUCAUGCCAUUGUGGCGAUGGAUUCUUAUCCCUCUGAAACCCUAAGCCCCAAAUAAACUUCCCUUCUGU
RNAcentral lists this long non-coding RNA (1374 nucleotides) under Rattus norvegicus (Norway rat). RNAcentral's name for it is "long non-coding RNA NONRATT028322". The record is from RNAcentral. Lineage: Eukaryota; Metazoa; Chordata; Mammalia; Rodentia; Muridae.